Molecule: ribosomal RNA, 206 nt
Filed under: Salinivibrio sp. IB868
Lineage: Bacteria; Pseudomonadati; Pseudomonadota; Gammaproteobacteria; Vibrionales; Vibrionaceae
Description: partial 16S ribosomal RNA
Rfam family: Bacterial small subunit ribosomal RNA
Source: RNAcentral
AAAUUGAAGAGUUUGAUCAUGGCUCAGAUUGAACGCUGGCGGCAGGCCUAACACAUGCAAGUCGAGCGGAAACGGCAGUAUUGAAGCUUCGGUGGAUUUACUGGACGUCGAGCGGCGGACGGGUGAGUAACGGCUGGGAACCUGCCCUGACGAGGGGGAUAACCGUUGGAAACGACGGCUAAUACCGCAUAAUGUCUACGGACCAA